UAGAUCUGCAUUUAUCAUGUGGAUGGUGGUUUAAAGGAACACCUCAGACAUCGUAAUCACUACAGCUCACUGUAUCUAUUCCAAUCAUUUAAACUAUUUUUACAAUUUACUUGGUCUUGUUGAGUGCUAGCUGCCACCUCCACUGCUGCCAGAAACUUAGCUGCUUGCAGGAGCUUCCACACCCAGAGAGACAACAGCAGCAAUGGCACGUGGCAGGACCCAGGUAAGCUGUCAAAUAGUUCUUCACUACAUACUCUAAGAGGGUGUUCAGGGACAUAACAGCUACAGCGGACUGUAAAGGUAUGGUGCCUGGUGUGUUUCCUUUGGAGAAGUAAAAUGGAGCUUUUAUUUUACCCAUCCAUGUGCAUUUGGAAGUGGGUUGGAGGAGUAAUAAAUAUGAGCUUCAUACAGACCACAUGUUUGGCUCCUUCUUAAGUCCCCUGAUUCACUGAAAUUGGAUCAACAGCAAAAACAUUUGUGAGGAAGGCUAAACUUGAUGGACGCAGGUCUCUUUUCAGCUAUGUAACUAUGUGAAGCAUCACUGGGUGUAGAAGCAUAGCAAAGGUGGCACAACUGGUCAAGUAAUUUCUCUUAUUCUAUCACUUUCAGUUGUUUGUUUGUUUUUUGGGACCCUCAUGGCACCAUAACUAUAUCAAAAUUAAGUUGUUAUGGGGCACAUAGGUCGAUGGUACUGGCUUACCUUUACAGGUUAUAACGUUCUUGAAUGUUCCAACCCCAAAGUCUCUUCCCCAGUGUUACUUUGCUCAGCUUUCGAAAAAUCU
This is a non-coding RNA of Pelobates cultripes (western spadefoot toad), 782 nucleotides long. The record is from the annotation of a GenBank genome assembly. NCBI's taxonomy places the organism in Eukaryota, Metazoa, Chordata, Amphibia, Anura, Pelobatidae.